UUUCCGUAGGUGAACCUGCGGAGGGAUCAUUAACACGUUCCAAACCAAACUAUCAACCAAUCUGUGAACUUGUAUCCGCCUCACAUCUGAUGUAUGGUUCAUUCCAUAUAUCAGAAACUUGGAAUUGGGAUUUUGUAGUACGCUGUUGAGUCUCGAUGGUGGUUGAGAGCGACUUCGCUCUCAAAACGAUUCCAGUGUAUCGCGGAAGUCGGUUAGAGCUUUCAACGAAGCCCAAUUCGAAGGAGGCCCAAACUAAUGGAGCUGACGACUGACCAUCAGUUGUUGCUCUGUUAACCCUUCAAACGCCCUAAAGAACAAUUUUAAUAGCUACCAAGUUAUUAUAUUUUGGUCUUGAAUUAAUGUAAUCAAUUUCUUCUGCCACUGAGUGUGUCUCUCGCUUGCAAAAAGUGUGGUUUUGACUGCAGUGUGUAGCAAUUUUUUAUGUUCUUUACGGAGCAUAAAAAAUAUAUUUAUUCAAAAAACAGAGUUAAACAACUCUUAGCAAUGGAUAUCUUGGUUCUC
RNAcentral lists this unclassified non-coding RNA (522 nucleotides) under plant metagenome. Its description in RNAcentral is "partial contains small subunit ribosomal RNA, internal transcribed spacer 1, and 5.8S ribosomal RNA". The record is from RNAcentral.